RNAcentral lists this ribosomal RNA (161 nucleotides) under Psammotropha obovata. RNAcentral describes it as "5.8S ribosomal RNA". It matches the Rfam family "5.8S ribosomal RNA". From Rfam's summary of the family: 5.8S ribosomal RNA (5.8S rRNA) is a component of the large subunit of the eukaryotic ribosome. It is transcribed by RNA polymerase I as part of the 45S precursor that also contains 18S and 28S rRNA. The record is from RNAcentral. Lineage: Eukaryota; Viridiplantae; Streptophyta; Magnoliopsida; Caryophyllales; Molluginaceae.
AACGACUCUCGGCAACGGAUAUCUCGGCUCUCGCAUCGAUGAAGAACGUAGCGAAAUGCGAUACUUGGUGUGAAUUGCAGAAUCCCGUGAACCAUCGAGUCUUUGAACGCAAGUUGCGCCCGAAAGCUUCGGCCGAGGGCACGUCUGCCUGGGCGUCACAC